CAGCCGCCGCGGUAAUACGAAGGGUGCAAGCGUUAAUCGGAAUUACUGGGCGUAAAGCGCGCGUAGGUGGUUCAUUAAGUUGGAUGUGAAAGCCCUGGGCUCAACCUGGGAACUGCAUCCAAAACUGGCAGGCUAGAGUAGGGCAGAGGGUGGUGGAAUUUCCUGUGUAGCGGUGAAAUGCGUAGAUAUAGGAAGGAACACCAGUGGCGAAGGCGACCACCUGGGCUCAUACUGACACUGAGGUGCGAAAGCGUGGGGAGCAAACAGGAUUAGAUACCCGGGUAGUCCCUGUCUCUUAUAC
This 301-nucleotide ribosomal RNA is filed under the name uncultured bacterium. Its description in RNAcentral is "partial 16S ribosomal RNA". It matches the Rfam family "Bacterial small subunit ribosomal RNA", at positions 509 to 807 of the family's 1533-position model. The record is from RNAcentral.